Molecule: long non-coding RNA, 299 nt
Organism: Centruroides sculpturatus (bark scorpion)
Lineage: Eukaryota; Metazoa; Arthropoda; Arachnida; Scorpiones; Buthidae
Exons: 4
Source: RefSeq, a predicted model, not a curated record
GCUGAAUUAUGUUAACUAUGUUAAAAUGUUGUAGCCAUAACCCAUAAAUAGUCAAUAAAUGGUUUUGAUAGUUCAGAAAAUAUACAAGUAAUUAAGUACUUAAAGAGAAUCGUUUCGUAUGCAAAGACGAAAUCCGGUUCCAAGAACAAUAUUUUGAGCUAUUCCGUAUGGGAACAUAUUGCCUGUAAUAAGUUUCGUCUUCAUAAAGAAGUGGCUUGGCUAUAUUUUGAAAAUUAUUUUUUGGUUCAUCUAAGAAAAGUUGACGAACGUAUCGAAUGGGAUCGACAGUUUUCGGAUGC